RNAcentral lists this ribosomal RNA (563 nucleotides) under uncultured bacterium. RNAcentral describes it as "bacterial SSU rRNA". It matches the Rfam family "Bacterial small subunit ribosomal RNA", at positions 338 to 916 of the family's 1533-position model. The record is from RNAcentral.
CCUACGGGAGGCAGCAGUAGGGAAUUUUCCGCAAUGGGGGCAACCCUGACGGAGCAACGCCGCGUGAGUGAAGACGGCCUUCGGGUUGUAAAGCUCUGUUCUUGGGGAAGAAAACAAUGACGGUACCCAAGCAGAAAGCCCCGGCUAACUACGUGCCAGCAGCCGCGGUAAUACGUAGGGGGCAAGCGUUGUCCGGAAUUAUUGGGCGUAAAGCGCGCGCAGGUGGUGGAUUAAGUUGUGGGUAAAAGGCAAUGGCUCAACCAUUGUAAGCCUGCAAAACUGGUUCACUUGAGUGCAGGAGAGGGGAGUGGAAUUCCCGGUGUAGCGGUGGAAUGCGUAGAUAUCGGGAGGAACACCAGUGGCGAAGGCGACUCUCUGGCCUGUAACUGACACUGAGGCGCGAAAGCGUGGGGAGCGAACAGGAUUAGAUACCCUGGUAGUCCACGCCGUAAACGAUGAGUGCUAGGUGUUGGGGACAUCACGUCUUCAGUGCCGAAGGAAACCCAUUAAGCACUCCGCCCGGGGAGUACGGCCGCAAGGCUGAAACUCAAAGGAAUUGACGG